AGUGAACGCUGGCGGUAGGCCUAACACAUGCAAGUCGAACGGCAGCACAGUAAGAGCUUGCUCUUACGGGUGGCGAGUGGCGGACGGGUGAGGAAGACAUCGGAAUCUACUUUUUCGUGGGGGAUAACGUAGGGAAACUUACGCUAAUACCGCAUACGACCUACGUGUGAAAGCAGGGGAUCUUCGGACCUUGCGCGAUUGAAUGAGCCGAUGUCGGAUUAGCUAGUUGGCGGGGUAAAGGCCCAACAAGGCGACGAUCCGUAGCUGGUCUGAGAGGAUGAUCAGCCACACUGGAACUGAGACACGGUCCAGACUCCUACGGGAGGCAGCAGUGGGGAAUAUUGGACAAUGGGCGCAAGCCUGAUCCAGCCAUACCGCGUGGGUGAAGAAGGCCUUCGGGUUGUAAAGCCCUUUUGUUGGGAAAGAAAAGCAGCAGGUUAAUACCCCGCUGUUCUGACGGUACCCAAAGAAUAAGCACCGGCUAACUUCGUG
Molecule: ribosomal RNA, 492 nt
Filed under: uncultured bacterium
Lineage: Bacteria
Description: partial 16S ribosomal RNA
Rfam family: Bacterial small subunit ribosomal RNA
Source: RNAcentral